Molecule: ribosomal RNA, 596 nt
Filed under: Pseudomonas sp.
Lineage: Bacteria; Pseudomonadati; Pseudomonadota; Gammaproteobacteria; Pseudomonadales; Pseudomonadaceae
Description: bacterial SSU rRNA
Rfam family: Bacterial small subunit ribosomal RNA
Source: RNAcentral
UACGGGAGGCAGCAGGGGGGAAUAUUGGACAAUGGGCGAAAGCCUGAUCCAGCCAUGCCGCGUGUGUGAAGAAGGUCUUCGGAUUGUAAAGCACUUUAAGUUGGGAGGAAGGGCAGUAACCUAAUACGCUAUUGUUUUGACGUUACCGACAGAAUAAGCACCGGCUAACUUCGUGCCAGCAGCCGCGGUAAUACGAAGGGUGCAAGCGUUAAUCGGAAUUACUGGGCGUAAAGCGCGCGUAGGUGGUUCAGUAAGUUGGAAGUGAAAUCCCCGGGCUCAACCUGGGAACUGCUUUCAAAACUGCUGAGCUAGAGUACGGUAGUGGGUGGUGGAAUUUCCUGUGUAGCGGUGAAAUGCGUAGAUAUAGGAAGGAACACCAGUGGCGAAGGCGACCACCUGGACUGAUACUGACACUGAGGUGCGAAAGCGGGGGGAGCAAACAGGAUUAGAUACCCUGGUAGUCCACGCCGUAAACGAUGUCAACUAGCCGUUGGGAGUCUUGAACUCUUAGUGGCGCAGCUAACGCAUUAAGUUGACCGCCUGGGGAGUACGGCCGCAAGGUUAAAACUCAAAUGAAUUGACGGAAGGGCGAAUUC